GGAUGUGACGGUGGUCUGGCUGCAACAUUUGUCCCCCAUUGAUCACUAGGCUUGAUUUGGCUGAUCUGGCUGGGUAGGCAGGUGUUCCCUGCUUCCUUUACCGCUUCAUGUGCAUCCCUCCUGAAGCUGUGAUGGUGGUAGAAGAAGAUGACCUUUUCUGAUAGAGGAGGACCAUUUCCUAAGCCAAGGGCAUAUGAGUAACUGUGCUCUCUUGCCAGAAUCUCCAAACAAACUCUUAAGUUUAGUAGCUCAGAUGCUCUCUUAAUAGGGAAGAUGAAAGUGAGAGAUGUACGGCAGUUUUAGAUGAAGAGCAAAUGAUUUU
RNAcentral lists this small nuclear RNA (322 nucleotides) under Chinchilla lanigera (long-tailed chinchilla). Its description in RNAcentral is "7SK RNA (ENSCLAG00000021958.1)". It matches the Rfam family "7SK RNA". Rfam says of the family: 7SK was discovered as an abundant small nuclear RNA in the mid-70s but a possible function has only recently been suggested. Two independent studies have found that 7SK RNA binds the CDK9/cyclin T complex (known as elongation factor P-TEFb). Lineage: Eukaryota; Metazoa; Chordata; Mammalia; Rodentia; Chinchillidae. The record is from Rfam by way of RNAcentral.